RNAcentral lists this transfer RNA (73 nucleotides) under bacterium. RNAcentral's name for it is "tRNA-Phe". It matches the Rfam family "tRNA". From Rfam's summary of the family: Transfer RNA (tRNA) molecules are approximately 80 nucleotides in length. Their secondary structure includes four short double-helical elements and three loops (D, anti-codon, and T loops). The record is from RNAcentral.
GCUUGGAUAGCUCAGCUGGUAGAGCAUCGCCCUGAAGAGGCGGGGGUCCCCGGUUCGAUCCCGGGUCCAAGCA